Molecule: ribosomal RNA, 383 nt
Filed under: uncultured eukaryote
Lineage: Eukaryota
Description: partial 18S ribosomal RNA
Rfam family: Eukaryotic small subunit ribosomal RNA
Source: RNAcentral
CAAUAGCGUAUAUUAAAGUUGUUGCAGUUAAAAAGCUCGUAGUUGGAUUUCUGGUGGGAGCGAUCGGUCUGGCGCUUAGCGCGAGUACUUGCAUCGUCUCCGGCCAUCCUUGGGGAAAGUCUGUCUGGCAUUAAGUUGUCGGGCAGAGGAUCCUCAUCGUUUACUGUGAAAAAAUUAGAGUGUUCAAAGCAGGCUUAUGCCGUUGAAUAUAUUAGCAUGGAAUAAUAAGAUAGGACUUUGGUACUAUUUUGUUGGUUUGCGCACCAAAGUAAUGAUUAAUAGGGACAGUUGGGGGUAGUCGUAUUCCGUUGUCAGAGGUGAAAUUCUUGGAUUUACGGAAGACGAACUACUGCGAAAGCAUUUACCAAGGAUGUUUUCAUUAA